GACGAACGCUGGCGGCGUGCCUAAUACAUGCAAGUAGAACGCUGAAGAGAGGAGCUUGCUCUUCUUGGAUGAGUUGCGAACGGGUGAGUAACGCGUAGGUAACCUGCCUGGUAGCGGGGGAUAACUAUUGGAAACGAUAGCUAAUACCGCAUGAUAUUAAUUGUCGCAUGAUAAUUAAUUGAAAGAUGCAAUUGCAUCACUACCAGAUGGACCUGCGUUGUAUUAGCUAGUUGGUGAGGUAACGGCUCACCAAGGCGACGAUACAUAGCCGACCUGAGAGGGUGAUCGGCCACACUGGGACUGAGACACGGCCCAGACUCCUACGGGAGGCAGCAGUAGGGAAUCUUCGGCAAUGGGGGGAACCCUGACCGAGCAACGCCGCGUGAGUGAAGAAGGUUUUCGGAUCGUAAAGCUCUGUUGUAAGAGAAGAACGGGUGUGAGAGUGGAAAGUUCACACUGUG
Molecule: ribosomal RNA, 461 nt
Filed under: Streptococcus sanguinis
Lineage: Bacteria; Bacillati; Bacillota; Bacilli; Lactobacillales; Streptococcaceae
Description: bacterial SSU rRNA
Rfam family: Bacterial small subunit ribosomal RNA
Source: RNAcentral